GACGAACGCUGGCGGCGUGCUUAACACAUGCAAGUCGAGCGGUAAGGCCCUUCGGGGUACACGAGUGGCGAACGGGUGAGUAACACGUGGGUGAUCUGCCCUGCACUUCGGGAUAAGCCUGGGAAACUGGGUCUAAUACCGGAUAGGACUCCUGGCUUCAUGGUUGGGGGUGGAAAGCUUUUGCGGUGUGGGAUGGGCCCGCGGCCUAUCAGCUUGUUGGUGGGGUAAUGGCCUACCAAGGCGACGACGGGUAGCCGGCCUGAGAGGGUGAGCGGUCACACUGGGACUGAGAUACGGCCCGGACUCCUACGGGAGGCAGCAGUGGGGAAUAUUGCACAAUGGGCGCAAGCCUGAUGCAGCGACGCCGCGUGAGGGAUGACGGCCUUCGGGUUGUAAACCUCUUUCAGCUAUGACGAAGCGCAAGUGACGGUAGUAGCAGAAGAAGGACCGGCCAACUACGUGCCAGCCGCCGCAGUAA
RNAcentral lists this ribosomal RNA (478 nucleotides) under uncultured bacterium. Its description in RNAcentral is "partial 16S ribosomal RNA". It matches the Rfam family "Bacterial small subunit ribosomal RNA", at positions 28 to 523 of the family's 1533-position model. The record is from RNAcentral.